RNAcentral lists this transfer RNA (72 nucleotides) under Ictidomys tridecemlineatus (thirteen-lined ground squirrel). RNAcentral describes it as "Spermophilus tridecemlineatus (thirteen-lined ground squirrel) tRNA". It matches the Rfam family "tRNA". Rfam says of the family: Transfer RNA (tRNA) molecules are approximately 80 nucleotides in length. Their secondary structure includes four short double-helical elements and three loops (D, anti-codon, and T loops). The record is from Rfam by way of RNAcentral. Lineage: Eukaryota; Metazoa; Chordata; Mammalia; Rodentia; Sciuridae.
GGCGGUAUAGCUCAGUGGUAAAGUGCAUGCCUAGUAAGCAUAAGGCCCUGGGUUCGAACUCCAGCACUCCCC